Molecule: long non-coding RNA, 1667 nt
Organism: Orcinus orca (killer whale)
Lineage: Eukaryota; Metazoa; Chordata; Mammalia; Artiodactyla; Delphinidae
Exons: 2
Source: RefSeq, a predicted model, not a curated record
CUCUUUCCUAAGUUCCAGACCUGUACAUCCAACUUGCCCGGUCCAUAUUCCUACUUGGAUGUCUCAGAGGCACCUCAGAAUCAACUCAGCCAAACUUCCCAGCCCCUCAAAACUCCUCGUCCAACAUUCUCCACUCAGAAAACGGCUCUACUUAGUUGUUCAAGCCAGAAACCUAGGAGUUACCCUCUAUUGCUCCUAUUCCCUGCUUUGCCUCCAUCACCCAUUCUCCCUCCUACACCUCUCCAAUCCAUAUAACCUCACACUUGCGUUUAAGCCCUCACCAUCUCUUAUCUGGACCGCUGCAAUGAGCUCCUGGCCGGUUUCUCUACAUCCAUUCUGCCCCUCCCUCGUUCACUACUUUGAAAUUUUGAGUCUUACCACAUCACUCAGCUGACUUCAGAGGCUUCCUACAUCAGUAAAAUGAAGUCCAGAGUUCUUCUCGGGACCUCCAUGAUUUCUUGCAUGGUCUCCAAGGCCCCACUACCUAUGUGAACUCAUCACGUGUCACUCCUGCCUCACUCACUGGGCAGCCCUCACAUUUCCCUUCUUUCAGUUCUUCAGAGAUACCAGGCUUUUCUCACCUCAGAGCCUUUGCACGUGUUGCUCUCUCCUUCUGCCCACACCACCUCCCUACCCUGCCCUUUCCACCUUGCUGAGUCCCACUCACCCUUCCAGUCCCAUCUUAAAUGCCCCCUCCCUCUAACAGCUCCCCCGUUAGAGAUGUCGUAUGUGUGUUCGAGAGUAUUUGUAUGCCUUUGUAUUUUGUAUAUUUGGCACACUGCAUUUCCCUCUGCCAAACUUUCACACUUGUAAUGAUUCAUUUCACUCGUUUAUUCAUCAACUUACACAGAGUCCCUGCUUGUGCCAGGCACUGUUGUAGGCACUGGGGUUGCAGCAUAGAAUGGCAGAGAUUCCUGCACUCAGGGAGCUUCCAUCCUUUGUAAUGUUUCCCUCCACUAUGUGAUUUUUAGUUCCUCGAGGAGAAGGUCAUGCUUGUUUUGCUGGCCGCUAUGUUCCAGUGUUUAGCACACUAGCACACUGUCAUGUGAAUAUUCAGUAGACAUUAGCCAACUGUCUGAUUGGCUUACUGAAGAUACUACUGGGCACAUAGUAAACAAAUACAUGUUGAAUUAGACAAGUUCAUUCAAGCAAUCACGUCCACAGAAAAAGGUAAUAUUUCAGAUUUAUCGUGAUGGUUUUCAUUGUAUCAUUUGAUUUUUAGUAAGGAAUUAUUGGUUCUCUUAUUCCUGUUAACCAACAUAAAUGAAUAAAUGAAUAAGACAAAUUAUUUCAGAAUGAAAAUAAAGUUAAGAAAAGCUAGGAUGGCUGGAGUCCAGUGGGCAGGGUAAAUGGUGCAAGAGGAGGUGGUCAGAAGCCUGCUCACAAAGCAAUGAUUUAGGACUUUUUUGUGGUUUCAGUGGGGAGAUAUCCGGGGUUUUUGUUUGUUUGUUUGUUUGUUUUGCGGUACGCGGGCCUCUCACUGUUGUGGCCUCUCCCGUUGCGGAGCACAGGGUCCGGACGUGCAGGCUCAGCGGCCAUGGCUCACGGGCCCAGCCGCUCCGCGGCAUGUGGGAUCUUACCGGACCGGGGCACGAACCCGCGUCCCCUGCAUCGGCAGGCGGACUCUCAACCACUGCGCCACCAGGGAAGCCCUAACCAUUUUUAUU